AUUGAACGCUAGCGGGAUGCUUUACACAUGCAAGUCGAACGGCAGCGCGGACUUCGGUCUGGCGGCGAGUGGCGAACGGGUGAGUAAUGUAUCGGAACGUGCCCAGUAGCGGGGGAUAACUACGCGAAAGCGUAGCUAAUACCGCAUACGCCCUACGGGGGAAAGCAGGGGAUCGUAAGACCUUGCACUAUUGGAGCGGCCGAUAUCGGAUUAGCUAGUUGGUGAGGUAACGGCUCACCAAGGCGACGAUCCGUAGCUGGUUUGAGAGGACGACCAGCCACACCGGGACUGGGACACGGCCCAGACUCCUUAGGGAGGCCGCAGGUGGGAAUUUUUGACAAUGGGGGCAACCCUGAUCCAGCCCUCCCGCGGGGGCGAUGAAAGCCUUCGGGUUGGAAAGCACCUUUUGCAGGAAAGAAACCGUGCCGGCUAAUACCCCGUGGAACUGACGGUACCUGCAGAAUAAGCACCGGCUAACUACGUG
Molecule: ribosomal RNA, 484 nt
Filed under: uncultured bacterium
Lineage: Bacteria
Description: partial 16S ribosomal RNA
Rfam family: Bacterial small subunit ribosomal RNA
Source: RNAcentral